RNAcentral lists this transfer RNA (83 nucleotides) under Blumeria hordei DH14. RNAcentral describes it as "tRNA-Lys for anticodon CUU". It matches the Rfam family "tRNA". From Rfam's summary of the family: Transfer RNA (tRNA) molecules are approximately 80 nucleotides in length. Lineage: Eukaryota; Fungi; Ascomycota; Leotiomycetes; Helotiales; Erysiphaceae. The record is from Rfam by way of RNAcentral.
GCCCGGGUAGCUCAAUCGGUAGAGCGUGUGGCUCUUAAUAAAUGGAAACCUCAAGGUCGCGGGUUCGAGCCCCGCCUCGGGCU